GACGAACGCUGGCGGCGUGCUUAACACAUGCAAGUCGAACGGAAAGGCCCUGCUUUUGUGGGGUGCUCGAGUGGCGAACGGGUGAGUAACACGUGAGUAACCUGCCCUUUACUUUGGGAUAACUUCAGGAAACUGGGGCUAAUACCGGAUAGGAGCUCCUGCUGCAUGGUGGGGGUUGGAAAGUUUCGGCGGUUGGGGAUGGACUCGCGGCUUAUCAGCUUGUUGGUGGGGUAGUGGCUUACCAAGGCUUUGACGGGUAGCCGGUCUGAGAGGGUUACCGGACACAUUGGGACUGAGAUACGGCCCAGACUCCUACGGGAGGCAGCAGUGGGGAAUAUUGCAAAAUGGGCGGAAGCAUGAUGCAGCAACGCAGCGUGCGGGAUGACGGCCUUAGGGUUGUAAACCGCUUUCGCCUGUGACGAAGCGUGAGUGACGGUAAUGGGUAAAGAAGCACCGGCUAACUACGUG
RNAcentral lists this ribosomal RNA (468 nucleotides) under uncultured bacterium. Its description in RNAcentral is "partial 16S ribosomal RNA". It matches the Rfam family "Bacterial small subunit ribosomal RNA", at positions 28 to 507 of the family's 1533-position model. The record is from RNAcentral.